Molecule: RNA transcript, 3471 nt
Organism: Choloepus didactylus (southern two-toed sloth)
Lineage: Eukaryota; Metazoa; Chordata; Mammalia; Pilosa; Megalonychidae
Gene name: afadin- and alpha-actinin-binding protein B-like
Exons: 16
Source: RefSeq, a predicted model, not a curated record
UAGAGAUGAGCAAUAUAUACCACCGGAUAUGCCUACUCAAAUGCUUGUAAGAGGCAUGGCUCUGGGUGAGAGUGUUUCUGACACUGUAACAGUUUUGUGGAUUAGAAGGUAUAGUGAUGUUGACUGGGUUUUCUUAAAUAUGCUAGGCACAGUUGUAAAAGAGGGAUGAAUACAAGGCUUCAAAUGCUCAACUUAAGCACUACAUGAAGGAGGUGAAAAUUUCUACGUGUGCUCUGAAAGAAGGUCUUAUUCCUUGUAGCUGCAGACUUGAGAUUUCUGAAAACCAGACCAAGGGUCCCAUGUGAGUGGCUGAAUUACAACAUAAACUAAAUUUCCAACCUUGCAGAGUGUCUGUAUUAAAGUGAGGCCUUGAUUGGAAAGGAAUGGAAUCCUGAAAAUUCGAAUGGGGCAUAUGGGUUGAUAAUGUUGGUAGUGGGGACAUUGAAACCCUAGAUUCUGCUGGGUCUUUGCCAGAUAAACCUGUAAUGGUCUGCCCUGAGGAAUCAGCUACUUGACCUCCAGUGUACCUGAGGAACAAGCCUCCUGACCUCUGUCUGCCCUGAGGCAGCUGCCAUCCAACCUGCUGAACCUGGUAAACCUGUAACCACCUCCCCUGAGCAAACAGUCCUCACUCUUCUAUCUGAAGAGGUUAAUCCAGUUUCACUAGAUGAAACUGCAAUGGAAUACCCUGAGGUAAUUGGCUUGCAAGACCCUUCUAAUUCAUCUCAUGACCCACCCUCACAACUCUUUUCUUCCAGUCCUACAAACUAGACUGAAGACCCGACAGGCUCCAAAAGGUGAAGUGCAAAGUAUGACCCAUGAGGAGACCUCAAGAUGAUCCACUGAGAAAGCAGCUGGGCUUUUAAAAAGUGUUACUCUGGAAAAUGGAGCAUUCUAAGACUGCCUUAGCAAGUUAGGUAAGAAUUUGAUUUGCUGGGUAGCUGGCUAGGAAACAGAUUAGAAAUGGUGAAAGAUGAAAAUUAGGUGAGGAAAUAUAGUACAGUGGAAAAAAUUAACACAAGUUUACUAUCUGAUUCUUGAAAUAUUUUCCAGUUAAAAAAAAAAAAAACUAUCAUUAGGGGAGAAGGGAAGGGAAACAAAUUGAAGUAAGUGAAGCUUACGUGGGCUCCAGCCCCUUCCUUGACUUAGGGCUAAUUUGCUGAAAGCUGGGGAGAUCCUGUUUCCGCCAACACUUCCCUUGUUUCAGAAGGCAUCAUGGAACCUCAUGAGGAUGAGUCUCUGAUGCCAGGUAGUAGCUUACUUCUUCCUGAUUUUAACUUUGACCUGACCCCUUUGGGUUUUCAGCUCCGUGGGUAUGAUUCCUUGACCUCAACAAUAAAGUACUCCCUCAUGGACUCCCCCCUUCCCCUGUGUCUACUUGUCUUUUCUCUAUUUUCUUUCCCACUUCUGGACACCUGCUGAACCAUCCUGGUGCUCAGCUGGGUCCAGUGUACCCUGGUGGGAGGCACCACCCUGGAUCCAGGGAAUGGAGAGUUCUGCCCCUUUGUAUAAGGAUCCCAGUUUAGACCGACAGCAGCAGAAGCGUUUCAGAGAUUUGGACUCCCUUCGAGGUCGGCAGGAUGCGCUCCAGGCCCAGGUACAGAUAUGUGAGCAGAAGAUCGCAGCUGUGCUGGCUCAGGAACAGGAGCUUGAGGAACAAAAUGAGAUGCUGAGGUGUGACCUGGGCAAAGCCUGGCAAGAGGUAGAGUGCCAGGUCUUAGCUUCAGUUGGCAUGGGAGGAUGGCAUGCCUCCUUUGAUUUUUCCUCCACACUUGCAUGUGGAAACCAGAGCCCCAUCCCCCACCCCUCUUCCCACACACACAUACAUUUAGGAUCUGAUUUUAUUUCCCCUUCCUGGUGUCUCUGGGAAUCCUGUGUGUACCUUUCCUGUUUAAUGGUUCCUCUACCCUGUCAGGUGAAGCAAUUCCAAGAGGUACUUAUCAAUCAGAAGGUACAGUAUGACUAUGAGCUGAAGAAGAAGGAGAAGGAGUUGGGGAAACUCAAAGAGCAAAUGCAGCAGAUGCAGGGGGAGCAGUGGAAUCGCCAAGGAAAGAUUGACAUUCUCAACAACCUGAAGAGGUCAGAUGGAAAACACACCAUGUGGAAAACUGGCAAAGCUAAUGGCAAGAAAGAGGGAGAGUUGAUCCAAACAGUGGUGAGAAACCUUGAGGACCAAGUGGCAGCAGUUUCCAGGGAAAAUGAAGAACUCAAGCAGUUGUUGACCAGGCUAGGCAGGGAUUUGGCUGAAUUCCUGGGCUGCCCUUGGGAUGGUCCUACUGAAGCCAAGGUGGCCAUAACUGUGGAUUGUGGUGCCUUGUGGAAACACUGGAGUUGCUUCAAGAAGGAAGUAGAGGUACUGAAGAAACAAGGCCAACCUGCAGAAGAGCUCCAGGAUAGAAACCCCGUAAUCAGCAUCACAGAUCAUGACAAGGAACUGGUCCAUCUGCGACAGGAGAUUCAGUGGAGUUUGGACUUUAUCACUUGGCAACAGCAUUGCUUCCAGGAGCAGCUUAGCUCUGGCCAGGAGCUGCCAGUCCACCUCCAGGGCUCCUGUUUCCUGGAGGAAGAGCAGAGGCUGCAGGAGGCCCAGAUCCUCUUUGCCCAGGAACGAGCACACUUCGAGGCAGAGAGGCACCGUUUUACUGAAGCUGCCAUCCGUCUGGGACAUGAGCGCUGGCACUUUGAGCUGGAGCGGGUUCUCUUCUGGAAAAAGCAGCUACUAGGAUUUUCUCUCCAUGAUUCUUCUCAGUCAAAGACCCCAAAGUCCUGCUUUGAUGCCCCAGAGCCCCAAACUUUAGAAAGGGAACUUGGUACUUGCUGUCCUGUUUCCUGUUCUUUCUUUGGACUCAGCCAAAGUUCAAGUGACUGCCCUUGUGUUCCAGAGUGUUAUACCUCUGUUGGGGUCUCCUCACUUCCUUGUCUUCAGGGAAAAAGAGUACACUGGUCCUGCUGUGGACCCAAAGGAAAUCAUUCCAACUUGCCACCUGAUUUGCUGGACAGUCCUUCCCUGCUUUCUCCUCUGGUACUUCAGAGUGGGGAGUUUUGCUGUGUUGACUAUGUUCUUGGCCUACUCUUCAUCCUGAUUCUUUCUCUCCUUGGAGUUGUCAAAGGGGGUUUACCAUUCAGAUGCUCUUGCAUGAGAUUUGGAAGACAGAAGUGAAGUGGAGGCCAUGCUUUUCUUCUUCUUUUUCUGCUGGCAAGCUCCGUCCUGGUGUACACAAUUAUUUUAUGGUGGUGUAUUGAUCAUGGAGUGGUAGCUUCCAACAUUUACAGGGGAGAAUUUGGAUGUCUGCUACCAUGCCACCAUCUUUUCUGGAAGUGUUUAAUGAUAUAUUUUCAGGGAUCCCCUGCACUCCCACGUCCCGCAUGAACGAGCCCAACCGUGUGUGUGACCAGUCAUCACGCUGCCUUGGAGGCAUCCUCCCACCUCCACUCCCCGAAUUAAAUCAGUCAACUGCAAAACCAGUGCUU